This 72-nucleotide transfer RNA is filed under the name Phrynosoma platyrhinos (Desert horned lizard). RNAcentral's name for it is "tRNA-OTHER". Lineage: Eukaryota; Metazoa; Chordata; Lepidosauria; Squamata; Phrynosomatidae. The record is from RNAcentral.
ACCAGUAUGGUGCAGUGGUUUCAGUGUUGGACUAUGAUUCUGGAGACCAGGGUUCAAAUCCCUGCUCAGCUG